RNAcentral lists this ribosomal RNA (253 nucleotides) under uncultured bacterium. RNAcentral's name for it is "partial 16S ribosomal RNA". It matches the Rfam family "Bacterial small subunit ribosomal RNA", at positions 524 to 776 of the family's 1533-position model. The record is from RNAcentral.
UACGGAGGGUGAGAGCGUUAAUCGGAAUUACUGGGCGUAAAGCGCACGCAGGCGGUUUGUUAAGCUAGAUGUGAAAGCCCCGGGCUCAACCUGGGAUGGUCAUUUAGAACUGGCAGACUAGAGUCUUGGAGAGGGGAGUGGAAUUCCAGGUGUAGCGGUGAAAUGCGUAGAUAUCUGGAGGAACAUCAGUGGCGAAGGCGUCUCCCUGGCCAAAGACUGACGCUCAUGUGCGAAAGUGUGGGUAGCGAACAGG